AGUUCGAAUUUGGUUUCUCCGUACUUCUGUUGUCACCUGUUGUCUGUUCAGUAAUGGCUUUUCUUCGGUCGCUUCAAGUUGAAGAAAUGGCAUUGACAUCAAAAUCUCGCAAGUAUGGCUUUGUGGCCUGGCUGCUGAGCACAUCGGUUGGAUUGUCGCUUUCUUUCUUGAGUUACUUUGGUUGAACAGUCACCAACUCUUCUCACAAGUGGCAUCGUGCAAGGACAUGCUUACUCCGUCUUACACCGUGUUGCUUUGGUUGCAUCUGUGACUUGCUGAGUAGGGGAAGGGCACAUGCUAUUUCUUGAUUUAACUUCUUAUGUAACUCUCCUAUCCUCUGAACAAGUGAAUCUCAUUCUCUCAAAUGUUUUACUUAACAGGGCGUAAGGUUUCUCAAGAACAACUCCUGGAUUUCGUUACUACAAAUCGAGCCAUGAUUCGCAGUUGUUCUAUAUUGGAAUGAGGAUUCUUAAAACUCGUGGACAUCGUGCUGCUUACAACAUAUUUCUUCAUGAAUCUGUUGGUGGAACAGACUAUGUGAACUCCCGUGAGCUAUCAUGCGAAAUGGUUCUUGAUCCUGAUCCCAAGGGUUAUACUAUUGUCCCGACCUGUGAGGAUUUGCUCCGAUCAAGUCUCCGAUCAAACGUCUUCCUCUUCACCGAUUACUGUAACUUCAAGAAGUGAAAGACACGACGGUUGUUGACCCGGAGUUCACCGCACUCUUCCGUUAACGAGGAAGAGCCGCUAUAUCUCUCCGGAGCUGGGAUCGAACCAGCAAUCACUAUACAGCUCACAAGCGAGCUCCGUUACAACGGCAAAGACUCGAUUCUCUAUCUCAAUGUUCUCGGUUGAUAACAAACUCUAUAUCAACUCGAGACCUUGACCACUCAGCUUUAUACUCAGCUGAUAACACCCGUGCAACUCACGUGUGAUCAAGUGAGAAAGAACCGACCCUAAACCGGAAUCAAUUAGUGAUUACAAGAAAUAACCGGAAACAACUUAACUCGAAUCAAACCGCUUCGCGUCAAGCCGAACCGGAACCUUCUUCUUCUCUUAGAGUCUUCCCGACUUGAACUCUUCCUUUUGAUCUAAUGACUAGAUCCUUCAAAUCUCCACCUUAGGCAUUAGAUUAACCUCUACGCCAAACUCUUGAGCUCUUGACCGAGCACUAGCAUCUUGACCGAUGCUUCUAACCACUUGUUUAUCUUCUUGAAACUCGAAGGAGCUGCAGAGCAUCCUUCACCUUGUAGACUGGAAGCACCUUAGUGAAUAUAUCAGCUGGAUUAACUUCUGUAGCAAUCUUAGUAACCUUGAUCACUCCCUUCUUAAUCCAGUCUCUGCCAAAGUUGUACUUCACCGCCAUAUGCUUCGUCCUCUCGUGAAAUACUGCAUUCUUGGACAAUGCAAUGGCGCUUUGAGAAUCACAGAAUAUCUCCACUGACUCUUGUUUGAACCCCAAUUCCUCAGCAAGGCCUUUCAACCAUAGACCUUCACGUAUAGCUUCUGACAAUGAGAUAUAUUCUGCUUCAGUAGUUGACAACGCCACAACCUGCUGAAGCUGUGAUCUCCAACUGAUAGUGUUGCCUCCAACCGUGUAAACAAUACCGUUUAUAGACCUCCUAUGAUCCAAAUCUGCAGCAUAAUCUGAAUCACAAUAACCCUUCACUAUGAACUCUCCUUGCUUCCGGUAGCAAAGUUUAGUGUCAACUGAUCCUUGUAUGUACCUCAAGACCCACUUGACUGCACUCCAGUGUUCAUGUAGCGGCUUGCUCAUGAACCGACUUAUCAAUCCUACUGAGUAAGCAAGAUCAGGUCUUGUACCAAUCAUGGCAUACAUGAUACUCCCAACUGCACUCUGAUAUGGAAUGUUCUUCAUGGACUCCACCUUCUCCUGAUAUUCCUUAUCAGACGGAGUACUUAACUUGAAGUGAACUCCCAUUGGCGUAGCAGUUGGUUUACACUGAUCCAUCUUAAAGUUCGAUAGAACUCUUCUCAGAUAACCUUCCUGCGAUAUCCACAAACACCCAUUUACUCUGUCCCUUUCUAUCUCCAUCCCGAGAAUCUUCUUAGCAUCUCCUAAAUCUUUCAUCUCAAACUCACUGCUUAGAAGUAUCUUAAGCGCCUUGACUUCUUCUUUGUUCUUAGACGCAAUCAAUAUAUCAUCUACGUAUAGCAGUAGAUAGAUAUACUCCUCUGUCUUCUUUAACACCUUGUAAUAGACGCAACUGUCGUACUCACUUCGACUGAACUGAAUCACCUUCAUGAAGUCAUCAAAACGCUUAUUCCAUUGACGCGGGGAUUGUUUGAGACCAUACAAUGAUCUCUCAAGCUGACAGACCUUCUCUGGAUACUUCUUAUCCACAAAACCCUCAGGCUGCUCCAUGACUAUGAACUCUUCUAUCUCACCGUGAAGAAACGCUGUCUUGACAUCCAUUUGUUGUAGUUCCAUGUCAUGGUGGACCACUGCUGAUAACAUGUAUCUGAUAGACACAUGUUUGACUACUGGUGCGAAUAUCUCUUGAUAGUCCACCCCCUCCUUCUGCGAGUAUCCCUUAGCGACGAGUCUCGCUUUGUGACGCGGGUCCUCCACUCCCAAGAUUCCAGGCUUCUUCUUGAAUAGCCAUCUACAUUCUAUGGUCUUCUUGCCAACUGGUCUGUCAAUGAGUUUCCACGUCUUGUUUUUAAUCAAGGACAUCAUCUCUUCCUUCGCUGCUUCUAGCCAUUUAUCACUGUCUGCAUGCUUCAUGGCCUCUUGGAAACUUCCAGGUUCAGAACUUCCAUCCUCUGCUAUAAGACACAUGAGAAUAGAGAAUUCUUCCUCGUAGGUCAUGGCAAACUCACACUCAUAGUCUCCAAGCCUAACAGGCGGUGCGGUUUGUCUUCGAGGCCUAUCUCUAGCUAGCAGGUAAUCACUCAAGCUCCCUUCACUUCCAACAACUGGGGCUUGUUCUUCGUUGGCCUCUUCAUCUGGUAUUGGAGCAAUGUCACCACCUUGAACGUCGCUCAUUGGUUCACCCGAUGACUCACCAAGCUCAAGGUUCACCAUCCUCUGUUCUGGAACAGAUUGUGGAUCCUGGGACUCUUCAUCAUCUUUUGACAGAUUCUUGAACACUUUGUCUUCACGGAAGACAACAUUUCUACUGAUGACACACUUCUGCUCAUCCAGUAACCACACCUUGAAUCCCUUUACUCCUUCAGGGUAACCGGUAAACACUCCACGCUUCGCUCUUGGCUUGAGUUUACCAUCAUCUGUAUGUAUGUAGACUAGGCACCCGAAUCUCUUGAGUCCUGAGAGAUUGGGCAUAACUGAAGUCCACACUUCCUCUGGGACCUUAAACUCAAUAGCAGAUGAUGGUGAUCUGUUGAUCAAAUAUACUGCUGUAGCAGCCGCUUCUGCCCAAAACUUCUGACCAAGACCACUCUCACUAAGCAUGCUUCUUACUUUGUUCAUAAUAGAUCUGUUGAGCCUCUCUGCCACGCCAUUCUGUUGAGGCGUGUACGUACAGGUUCGGUGCCUGACAAUGCCCUCCUCUUUGCAGUAACUGUCGAACUCUCUGUUGCAGAACUCGAGACCGUUGUCAGUUCUGAGCUUCUUCACCUUUCUCUCUGACUGCGUCUCAACCAUCUGUUUCCACUCUUUGAAGCUCCUGAAUGCCUCAGACUUGAACCGUAGAAAAUAGAUCCAGACUUUCCGAGAGAAGUCGUCAGUAAACGAGACGAAGUACUGACACUUGCUCAAACUAUAUGGGACGUUGGGAGAGCCCCAUAAGUCGGAAUGAACAUAGUCCAAUUUGUCUUUAGUCACGUGUUGAGCUGACCCAAAACUCACUCGCUGAGUCUUUCCCAUUACGCAGUCUUCACAGAACUUAAACUCUGUGAUCUUCUUGCCUUCUAUACAUCCCUUCCUAGCAAGUUCUUCAAGUCCUUUGUGACCAAUGUGGCCCAAGCGACUGUGCCACAUCAUAGUUUGAUCUUGACUCAGCACUGACUUCUCUGUAGGGGAUCCUACUGAAUUGGACUCAGACCUUGUCGCUCCACCUUGAAGAAUAUACAGUGAAUGCCUCCUGAGACCUCUCAUGAACACUGUACAACCCAUGAUGACCUUCAAUACUCCGUUUGAACCUUUGAACUCACAGCCUUUAUCUUCAAGUAACCCAAGAGAUAUCAGGUUACGAGAGAUUCCAGGCAUGAACCUUACAUCAUGGAGAACAAAUGUAGUUCCGUCUGGAUUUUGAAACCUGACUGAACCUACUCCUUUCACCUCUGACACUGAGUCGUUUGCCAUCCUAACCUUGCCUGAAGAAACCUCUUCAAAACGAAUGAACACGUCUCUCCUCGGUGUCAUGUGGAACGUGCAACCUGUGUCCAAGAUCCAUUCCUCAUAGUCUGAUGAGCUUGCCGAAAUGUUAACCUCUGCUACAAGAAGCCCCACAAGAUCUCUGGCAUCAUCUCUGGCUGAAGCAGCUUCGCCUUUCUCAGAACCGUUCUGCUUGCCCUUAUUCCUCUCAAUCCACUUGUAGCACUGCUUCUUGUAGUGGCCCUCUUUACCGCAUAUCCAGCAGACUCUCUUCCCCUCCUUUGACUUGGACCUGUACUUGUUCCUGUCUUUUCCAGAGCCAGUAUUUCUACUAUAUGAUCUACCUCUAACAUAGUGGCCUUCACCACUAGGUCUAGAACUAACAGCAUCCCUAAAUUCCGAUUCCUUAGACCUAGCCGCACUAGCUACUUCAUCUACCUUAAUAGCAUCACGACCAUACUUUAAGGUUUCUUUCAAGGAAUCAUACCUGGCAGGGAGUGAGUUCAGUAAGAGGAUAGCUUGUACCUCCUCCGGUACUUCAAUGCUCAGGUUGCUCAGGUCCGUUAUGAUCUUGAGGAAGUCAUCCAUGUUUUGAUCAAUCGUCUUGGAAUCCUGCAUCUUAAACGAGUAAACUUUUAGUUGCGCAUGAACUCUGUUAGGUAAACUCUGAGUCAUGUAUAAACGAUCAAGAAGCAUCCAAGCUUGAGCCGCUGUGGUGCACUUGUCGAUCUUGCGGAGAACUUGAUCUCCAACACUCAUGAAGAUCAAGUUCAUCGCCUUCUCGUCUCUUUCAGAUCUCGUAGCUUCAUCUGCAACUCGCUUCUUGAGUUCUUCAGGAUCCUCCUCCUUUGGAUCCAACUCCUUUGGAUCUUGAGUCUUCUCGGUUAGAACAUCCUUCAACCCUUGCACGCUGAGGUUUGCGUACAUCCUUUUCUUCCAGAUCGAGAAAUCUCCAGUGCCGUCGAACAUCGUCAUUGCGAAGGGAUGAGUCGUCAUCUUGAUGAACGGAUUCGAAGUCAUCUUGACUCGAGUCGCUUCCGUCGUCUUCAAUCGGUAAGCCUAUGGUUUAGGUAACCAGGCUCUGAUACCAAUUUGUGAGGAUUUGCUCCGAUUAAGUCUCCGAUCAAACGUCUUCCUCUUCACCGAUUACUGUAACUUCAAGAAGUGAAAGACACGACGGUUGUUGACCCGGAGUUCACCGCACUCUUCCGUUAACGAGGAAGAGCCGCUAUAUCUCUCCGGAGCUGGGAUCGAACCAGCAAUCACUAUACAGCUCACAAGCGAGCUCCGUUACAACGGCAAAGACUCGAUUCUCUAUCUCAAUGUUCUCGGUUGAUAACAAACUCUAUAUCAACUCGAGACCUUGACCACUCAGCUUUAUACUCAGCUGAUAACACCCGUGCAACUCACGUGUGAUCAAGUGAGAAAGAACCGACCCUAAACCGGAAUCAAUUAGUGAUUACAAGAAAUAACCGGAAACAACUUAACUCGAAUCAAACCGCUUCGCGUCAAGCCGAACCGGAACCUUCUUCUUCUCUUAGAGUCUUCCCGACUUGAACUCUUCCUUUUGAUCUAAUGACUAGAUCCUUCACGACCACUAUACAUACACCCAGGGGAAGAAGCACCUUUUGUUCUUUCAGUCUUCACAAAAGCAUCUGUUGUCCUUGAAGCUUUAUAGUUUUCCCCUCAUAGUAGGCAGAUGGCUCUCUCUCCUUCUUUGUCCUAAGUGCUUGUGUUGUUCAAGGAACCAGACGGCUCAUUUUUCAAAGUUAAAAGACUUGUUUUCCCGCAAUCAAGCGCAACGUUAGAGAAACUGGCCAUUAUCUGGUGAAUCUCGGAGGUCUUUGAAAUGGCAUAUUAUUUUAGUGAUCUGCUUCCCUAGCUGACGGCUCAGGUGACAAGUUUCACUGGAGAAAGCACUUUGAGGUCAUGGCUCACGGAUCAAAUGUACAUAAGUAGAGGUCUUGUGACAGUACAGAUUUUUAAAACUGUAGAAUAACUAGUUUGUAACUGGGAAAACAACAAGGGAAGUAGGAGACUUGUGACUCGUUAGGUAAAUGAGUUUGUACUUUGGUAGUGGUAGCUGCAGUUUUGGUUCGUGUGUUGUAAUAUUCAGACACUAAUCUGUUUGCAGAUUUCAUUUCAUCUAAUAUAUAAGCUAAUAUGUUUGGAGUU
Molecule: long non-coding RNA, 6472 nt
Organism: Raphanus sativus (radish)
Lineage: Eukaryota; Viridiplantae; Streptophyta; Magnoliopsida; Brassicales; Brassicaceae
Exons: 4
Source: RefSeq, a predicted model, not a curated record